RNAcentral lists this ribosomal RNA (301 nucleotides) under uncultured bacterium. Its description in RNAcentral is "partial 16S ribosomal RNA". It matches the Rfam family "Bacterial small subunit ribosomal RNA", at positions 509 to 808 of the family's 1533-position model. The record is from RNAcentral.
CAGUAGCCGCGGUAAUACAGAGGGUGCGAGCGUUAAUCGGAUUUACUGGGCGUAAAGCGUGCGUAGGCGGCUUCUUAAGUCGGAUGUGAAAUCCCUGAGCUUAACUUAGGAAUUGCAUUCGAUACUGGGAAGCUAGAGUAUGGGAGAGGAUGGUAGAAUUCCAGGUGUAGCGGUGAAAUGCGUAGAGAUCUGGAGGAAUACCGAUGGCGAAGGCAGCCAUCUGGCCUAAUACUGACGCUGAGGUACGAAAGCAUGGGGAGCAAACAGGAUUAGAUACCCCUGUAGUCCCUGUCUUUAUACC